Molecule: ribosomal RNA, 439 nt
Filed under: uncultured bacterium
Lineage: Bacteria
Description: partial 16S ribosomal RNA
Rfam family: Bacterial small subunit ribosomal RNA
Source: RNAcentral
CUACGGGUGGCAGCAGUGAGGAAUAUUGCACAAUGGGGGGAACCCUGAUGCAGCAACGCCGCGUGGAAGAUGACGCAUUUCGGUGUGUAAACUCCUUUUAUAUGUCAAGAAAAUGACGGUAGCAUAUGAAUAAGCACCGGCUAACUCCGUGCCAGCAGCCGCGGUAAUACGGAGGGUGCAAGCGUUACUCGGAAUCACUGGGCGUAAAGGACGCGUAGGCGGGUUGGAAAGUCAGGUGUGAAAUCCUACAGCUUAACUGUAGAACUGCACUUGAAACUUCUAAUCUAGAGUAUGGGAGGGGGAGAUGGAAUUAGUGGUGUAGGGGUAAAACCCGUAGAUAUCACUAGGAAUACCUAAAGCGAAGGCGAUCUCCUGGAGCAUUACUGACGCUAAGGCGUGAAAGCGUGGGGAGCAAACAGGAUUAGAUACCCUUGUAGUC